Molecule: ribosomal RNA, 913 nt
Filed under: uncultured Nitrososphaerota archaeon
Lineage: Archaea; Thermoproteati; Nitrososphaerota
Description: bacterial SSU rRNA
Rfam family: Archaeal small subunit ribosomal RNA
Source: RNAcentral
UCCGGUUGAUCCUGCCGGACCUGACUGCUAUCGGAUUGAUACUAAGCCAUGCGAGUCAUUGUAGCAAUACAAGGCAGACGGCUCAGUAACGCGUAGUCAACCUACCCUAUGGACGGGAAUAACCUCGGGAAACUGAGAAUAAUGCCCGAUAGAACAUUAUGCCUGGAAUGGUUUAUGUUCCAAAUGAUUUAUCGCCGUAGGAUGGGACUGCGGCCUAUCAGUUCGUUGGUGAGGUAAUGGCCCACCAAGACUAUUACAGGUACGGGCUCUGAGAGGAGUGGCCCGGAGAUGGGUACUGAGACACGGACCCAGGCCCUAUGGGGCGCAGCAGGCGAGAAAACUUUGCAAUGUGCGAAAGCACGACAAGGUUAAUCCGAGUGGUUUCUGCUAAAGGAACCUUUUGACAGUCCUAGAAACACUGUUGAAUAAGGGGUGGGCAAGUUCUGGUGUCAGCCGCCGCGGUAAAACCAGCACCUCAAGUGGUCAGGAUGAUUAUUGGGCCUAAAGCAUCCGUAGCCGGCUCUGUAAGUUUUCGGUUAAAUCUAUACGCUCAACGUAUAGGCUGCCGGGAAUACUGCAGAGCUAGGGAGUGGGAGAGGUAGACGGUACUCGGUAGGAAGGGGUAAAAUCCUUUGAUCUAUUGAUGACCACCUGUGGCGAAGGCGGUCUACCAGAACACGUCCGACGGUGAGGGAUGAAAGCUGGGGGAGCAAACCGGAUUAGAUACCCGGGUAGUCCCAGCUGUAAACUAUGCAAACUCAGUGAUGCAUUGGCUUGUGGCCAAUGCAGUGCUGCAGGGAAGCCGUUAAGUUUGCCGCCUGGGAAGUACGUACGCAAGUAUGAAACUUAAAGGAAUUGGCGGGGGAGCACCACAAGGGGUGAAGCCUACGGUUCAAUUGGAUUCAACGCCGGG